This 1405-nucleotide ribosomal RNA is filed under the name Halorubrum sp. RNAcentral's name for it is "bacterial SSU rRNA". It matches the Rfam family "Archaeal small subunit ribosomal RNA". The record is from RNAcentral. Lineage: Archaea; Methanobacteriati; Methanobacteriota; Halobacteria; Halobacteriales; Haloferacaceae.
AUUGGGGAUCCGAAUUUAGCCAUGCUAGUCGCACGAGUUCAGACUCGUGGCGAAUAGCUCAGUAACACGUGGCCAAACUACCCUUCGGAACACAAUACCCUCGGGAAACUGAGGCUAAUAGUGUAUACCACAUCACCACUGGAAUGAGUGAUGUGCCAAACGCUCCGGCGCCGAAGGAUGUGGCUGCGGCCGAUUAGGUAGACGGUGGGGUAACGGCCCACCGUGCCAAUAAUCGGUAUGGGUCAUGAGAGUGAGAACCCAGAGACGGAAUCUGAGACAAGAUUCCGGGCCCUACGGGGCGCAGCAGGCGCGAAACCUUUACACUGCACGACAGUGCGAUAGGGGGAUCCCAAGUGCACAGGCAUAGCGCCUGUGCUUUUCGGCACCCUAAGGCGGUGCCAGAAUAAGGGCUGGGCAAGACCGGUGCCAGCCGCCGCGGUAAUACCGGCAGCCCAAGUGAUGGCCGAUCUUAUUGGGCCUAAAGCGUCCGUAGCUGGCCCGCGCAAGUCCAUCGGGAAAUCCACCUGCUCAACAGGUGGGCGCCCGGUAGAAACUGCGUGGCUUGGGACCGGAAGGCGCGACGGGUACGUCCGGGGUAGGAGUGAAAUCCCGUAAUCCUGGACGGACCGCCGAUGGCGAAAGCACGUCGCGAGGACGGAUCCGACAGUGAGGGACGAAAGCCAGGGUCUCGAACCGGAUUAGAUACCCGGGUAGUCCUGGCCGUAAACAAUGUCUGCUAGGUGUGGCUCCCACUACGAGUGGGUGCUGUGCCGUAGGGAAGCCGCUAAGCAGACCGCCUGGGAAGUACGUCCGCAAGGAUGAAACUUAAAGGAAUUGGCGGGGGAGCACUACAACCGGAGGAGCCUGCGGUUUAAUUGGACUCAACGCCGGACAUCUCACCAGCAUCGACUGUAAUAAUGACGACCAGGUUGAUGACCUUGUCCGAGUUUCAGAGAGGAGGUGCAUGGCCGCCGUCAGCUCGUACCGUGAGGCGUCCUGUUAAGUCAGGCAACGAGCGAGACCCGCACCCUUACUUGCCAGCAGUACCGCGAGGUAGCUGGGGACAGUAGGGGGACCGCCGUGGCUAACACGGAGGAAGGAACGGGCAACGGUAGGUCAGUAUGCCCCGAAUGUGCUGGGCAACACGCGGGCUACAAUGGUCGAGACAAAGGGUUCCAACUCCGAAAGGAGACGGUAAUCUCAGAAACUCGAUCGUAGUUCGGAUUGUGGGCUGCAACUCGCCCACAUGAAGCUGGAUUCGGUAGUAAUCGCGUGUCACAAGCGCGCGGUGAAUACGUCCCUGCUCCUUGCACACACCGCCCGUCAAAGCACCCGAGUGAGGUCCGGAUGAGGCGUUCCACGAACGUCGAAUCUGGGCUUCGCAAGGGGGCUAAGUCGUAAUCAA